Molecule: ribosomal RNA, 253 nt
Filed under: uncultured bacterium
Lineage: Bacteria
Description: partial 16S ribosomal RNA
Rfam family: Bacterial small subunit ribosomal RNA
Source: RNAcentral
UACGGGGGGUGCGAGCGUUGUCCGGAAUCACUGGGCGUAAAGGGCGCGUAGGUGGUUUGAUAAGGGUGUGGUGAAAGUCCGGGGCUCAACCCCGGAUCUGCCGUGCCGACUGUCAAACUCGAGGGCUGUAGAGGCAGACGGAAUUCCGGGUGUAGCGGUGGAAUGCGUAGAGAUCCGGAGGAAGACCGGUGGCGAAGGCGGUCUGCUGGGCAGUUUCUGACACUGAUGCGCGACAGUGUGGGGAGCAAACAGG